AAAUAGCAAAUUCUAAAUUUCUGUAAUUUGUUUUGGCUAAUUUAAAAAAAAAAAAAAUACAAAACAUAACAUACAAAAACAUAACAAACAAAAGGAUACCAAACAGAUCAUGGCUUGUUCAAUACCGAUGUAUACUCCUUGUAUGAAAUGCAUGUACUCCUCUUCUGCAUGUGCUUGUCCGAUGAAACAGGACAUGUUGAAUAAAUCGGAAAUGUCCAUACAUUCUCAGCUGCCCAUAGGAGGGGACCUGCCAACAAAGGAAAACAGCCAGCUGAGCGUGGCAUCGGGGUUGAGUGGUAUGAGUGAAUUAUCCAGUAUGAGCGAAUUAUCCAGUAUGAGCGAACUAUCCGGGAUAAGUGAGAUUUCUGUGAUGAGUGACACCUCCGGAAUACCACAACCAAAUGUGCCAAUCAAAUCGGGUGCCAACAAGGUUAACAGGCUCAGUAACUCUUCUGUAGUAAGCCACAUCUCUGUAGCGAGUGUACAUUCGCAUAAAAGCAUAGUAUCCACACCAUCUUUGAACAGUACGACUUCAACACGCACGACGACGACAACGCCUUCGGUAGUUUCCCAGGCUCGAUCAGCCUCCGAAGUCUUCCCCCAUUAUUCUCCAUAUUCCACAUUUUCAACAUCCACAGCAUCGACAGGAACUGUGACAACCAAUUCGUCACAUAUGAACGCAGAAAUGACACCUUCGCAUUAUGCCAAGUGUUUAUCUCGCGUUGCUAAAACCUUUAAACGUGAAAGAAAAACAGAUGCAGUUUUACAUACGUAUUGCAAUGGCGUUUUAGUCAAAGGAUGGGAUAAGAAGGCCAGGAAUUUCGAGUGGGAUAUCUUCUGCUAUUGUCGGACUCGCGCUGGUGGUGGCUUGCUAAUGGAACAGACCCAUCUUAGAGCUGCUUAUUUGUUAAAAGAAAUAUAUUUAGAAAAAGCAGAUAGUCUUGUCAAGUACCUCCAACGGAUACAAAUAAAAGCUCCUCAUGUUCCAAUACCGUCUCACGAAAGCAAUGGAGUCUACUUGUCAGCCACUCUCUCCGAUUUUGACGAGACUGUAUUAAGAUGCAGUGGAAGGUCGUGUCAAUUAUCUUGGUCAUCACACUAUCUCCCGUGCUAUAAAAAUGUGUACUUUCUAAAAAAAAUGAAUCAAGGUACAGUUGAGAAUGAACCAGUCAAUUAUGGAGAAGAGUUUUACAUUUCUACAAUACCAGAUGAUGAUCAUGAGCAAUUGUAUUUGGAAGCCAAUUAUAAAGUCAUCGGUGUCAUGAAUAAUGCAUCAGGGCACUCUUCAAUUGACUUUACCCCACAUGCUUCUGGUUCAUGUCUCUGGAAGGCAAUAGCAGCAAAGCCAGAAGAAAGAGAAGUGAAACAUGGGAAACCAAUCCAUAUUGAUGACAGUGUUCACUUGGUAAAUAUUCGGCUUGGACAGAAACUAGCAGUUGAGCCUAAUUUUGUAUACCGGACGAUGUUUGGCAGGGAAUAUGAGGCGAGCGUGCAUAACCAUACUGCCCUUGGUGGUAGAAAUCGUGCUGAAAAUAGUAUAACAUUUACUUUAAAUGUUUCACCAGUGCGCAAGUGGCCACCAGCAUUCAGUAGCGGGAAAUAAGGGAAAACAUGGAAAUCAUUUGGAUUACAUUUCAUACAAUCAGCUAAACAGCUUGGACCAAAUGCACAGUAGUAUCAAUCCAGUAGAGCAGUAGUGGCACAAUGAUCUAUAAAAGGCGUAACCAACAUCAAAUUAUUUAAAUAAUAAAAACAAAUUAAACUAGUUAC
RNAcentral lists this unclassified non-coding RNA (1770 nucleotides) under Cimex lectularius (bed bug). RNAcentral describes it as "uncharacterized LOC106671111, transcript variant X3". The record is from RNAcentral. Lineage: Eukaryota; Metazoa; Arthropoda; Insecta; Hemiptera; Cimicidae.